This 76-nucleotide transfer RNA is filed under the name Gilliamella sp. Pra-s52. Its description in RNAcentral is "tRNA-Trp". It matches the Rfam family "tRNA". From Rfam's summary of the family: Transfer RNA (tRNA) molecules are approximately 80 nucleotides in length. Their secondary structure includes four short double-helical elements and three loops (D, anti-codon, and T loops). The record is from RNAcentral. Lineage: Bacteria; Pseudomonadati; Pseudomonadota; Gammaproteobacteria; Orbales; Orbaceae. RNAcentral also lists the same sequence under 1 other name.
GUGAGCUUAGUUUAAGUGGGAAAAACGUUGGUUUCCAAAACCAUUAAUAGAGGUUCGAAUCCUUUAGCUCAUGCCA